GUGAGUAACGCGUGAGAAUCUGGCUCCAGGUCGGGGAUAACAGUUGGAAACGACUGCUAAUACCGGAUGUGCCGAGAGGUGAAAGAUUUAUUGCCUGGAGAUGAGCUCGCGUCUGAUUAGCUAGUUGGUGGUGUAAGGGACCACCAAGGCGUCGAUCAGUAGCUGGUCUGAGAGGAUGAUCAGCCACACUGGGACUGAGACACGGCCCAGACUCCUACGGGAGGCAGCAGUGGGGAAUUUUCCGCAAUGGGCGAAAGCCUGACGGAGCAAUACCGCGUGAGGGAGGAAGGCUCUUGGGUCGUAAACCUCUUUUCUCAAGGAAGAAGAAAGUGACGGUACUUGAGGAAUAAGCAUCGGCUAACUCCGUGCCAGCAGCCGCGGUAAUACGGAGGAUGCAAGCGUUAUCCGGAAUGAUUGGGCGUAAAGGGUCUGCAGGUGGAACUGAAAGUCUGCUGUUAAAGAGUUUGGCUUAACCAAAUAAAAGCGGUGGAAACUACAGAACUAGAGUGCGGUAGGGGCAAAAGGAAUUCCUGGUGUAGCGGUGAAAUGCGUAGAUAUCAGGAAGAACACCGGUGGCGAAAGCGUUUUGCUAGACCAUAACUGACACUGAGGGACGAAAGCUAGGGGAGCGAAUGGGAUUAGAUACCCCAGUAGUCCUAGCCGUAAACGAUGGAUACUAGGCGUGGCUUGUAUCGACCCGAGCCGUGCCGGAGCUAACGCGUUAAGUAUCCCGCCUGGGGAGUACGCACGCAAGUGUGAAACUCAAAGGAAUUGACGGGGGCCCGCACAAGCGGUGGAGUAUUGGUUUAAUUCGAUGCAACGCGAAGAACCUUACCAAGACUUGACAUCCUGCGAAUCCUGGUGAAAGCUGGGAGUGCCUUAGGGAGCGCAGAGACAGGUGGUGCAUGGCUGUCGUCAGCUCGUGUCGUGAGAUGUUGGGUUAAGUCCCGCAACGAGCGCAACCCUCGUUUUUAGUUGCCAGCAUUAAGUUGGGCACUCUAGAGAGACUGCCGGUGACAAACCGGAGGAAGGUGAGGAUGACGUCAAGUCAGCAUGCCCCUUACGUCUUGGGCUACACACGUACUACAAUGCUACGGACAGAGGGCAGCGAGCCAGGGAUGGCAAGCGAAUCCAGAAACCGUAGCUCAGUUCAGAUCGAAGGCUGCAACUCGCCUUCGUGAAGGAGGAAUCGCUAGUAAUUGCAGGUCAGCAUACUGCAGUGAAUUCGUUCCCGGGCCUUGUACACACCGCCCGUCACACCAUGG
RNAcentral lists this ribosomal RNA (1265 nucleotides) under Cylindrospermopsis raciborskii CHAB141. RNAcentral's name for it is "bacterial SSU rRNA". It matches the Rfam family "Bacterial small subunit ribosomal RNA", at positions 106 to 1407 of the family's 1533-position model. The record is from RNAcentral. Lineage: Bacteria; Bacillati; Cyanobacteriota; Cyanophyceae; Nostocales; Aphanizomenonaceae. RNAcentral also lists the same sequence under 2 other names.